This 23-nucleotide non-coding RNA is filed under the name Mus musculus (house mouse). The record is from RNAcentral. Lineage: Eukaryota; Metazoa; Chordata; Mammalia; Rodentia; Muridae.
UGACAUCUGGAGCCGGAUCCUCC